GCCGGGCUCCAAAGGCUUGUGGAUAGCUGCCUGAAGCCCGGGGUGCGCAGUGGGAGUUGGCACUGCGCUCCCCGAGCUUCAAGCUUCAGGCUGCUAUCCGCAAGCCUUCGGAGCCCGGC
Podarcis lilfordi (Lilford's wall lizard) is the source of this 119-nucleotide non-coding RNA. NCBI's taxonomy places the organism in Eukaryota, Metazoa, Chordata, Lepidosauria, Squamata, Lacertidae. The record is from the annotation of a GenBank genome assembly.